This is a long non-coding RNA of Telopea speciosissima, 367 nucleotides long. RefSeq lists it as uncharacterized. The record is from RefSeq and is a predicted model, not a curated record. The transcript is spliced from 3 exons. NCBI's taxonomy places the organism in Eukaryota, Viridiplantae, Streptophyta, Magnoliopsida, Proteales, Proteaceae.
UUUUUAGAAUCUAAUCCUAUCCUUCCAAGGGAUCAGCCAAGUAAGGAUCCUCUCCAAGAGAUAAGUAGCUCAUUGAUGGGUCCCCACCUAAACAUAAGCUUCAUAAGAGAGAGAAUCAAUUGGAACCUACCGGAAUCUAUGCUUCCAUUUGAGGAAACUGUGGGCCAUGAACUGUCCAAUGCCUUGCCAGAUGAGCAACAAAACAUGGAUAGUGGAUCUUCGGAUGUCGCAAGGGAGGGCUGAUUGGCAUGCCUGACAUUCAAGAAGACAUAUUUGCUGAUGUCUAAUUUGCAUCAAGGGCUUCUAUUCUGUUUAUGAUUUAGAAUUACAGGUUCCUAUGGAGAACAUAUACAGACCAUAGAGAAUA